AACGCACAUUGCGCCCCUUGGUAUUCCGAGGGGCAUGCCUGUUCGAGCGUCAUUUACACCACUCAAGCCUUCAGCUUGGUCUUGGGAUUCGCGGUUUCGCGGUCCUUAAAAUCAGUGGCGGUGCCUGUAGGCUCUGAGCGUAGUAAUCUUCUCGCUAUAGUCCCCUACAGGUUGCUUGCCCAGCAACCCCAAUUUUUCAGGUUGACCUCGGAUCAGGUAGGGAUACCCGCUGAACUUAA
RNAcentral lists this unclassified non-coding RNA (239 nucleotides) under uncultured fungus. RNAcentral describes it as "sequence contains ITS2". The stretch from base 1 to 52 matches the Rfam family "5.8S ribosomal RNA", at positions 103 to 154 of the family's 154-position model. Lineage: Eukaryota; Fungi. The record is from RNAcentral.